Molecule: ribosomal RNA, 876 nt
Filed under: uncultured archaeon
Lineage: Archaea
Description: bacterial SSU rRNA
Rfam family: Archaeal small subunit ribosomal RNA
Source: RNAcentral
UUCCGGUUGAUCCUGCCGGACCCUACUGCUAUCGGGGGAGGACUAAACAUGCAAGUCGUGCGCCUCCAAGCCAUGGUGGAGACGCGGCAUCCGGCUCAGUAACACGUGGCUAACCCACCCUUGAGACGGAGAAAACCCCGGGAAACUGGGGUUAAUCUCCGAUAAGAGAAGACACCUGGAAUGGGUCUUCUCUCAAAGGGCGCCUAGACCAUGCUUUUGGGCGUUGCUCAAGGACGGGGCCGCGGCCGAUCAGGUUGUUGGUGAGGCAACGGCUCACCAAGCCUAUAACCGGUACGGGCCGUGAGAGCGGGAGCCCGGAGAUGGGCACUGAGACAAGGGCCCAGGCCCUACGGGGCGCAGCAGUUGCGAAAACUCCGCAAUGCACGAAAGUGUGACGGGGCUACCCCGAGUGCCGUCCGCUGAGGGCGGCUUUUCCCCGGUGUAAGGAGCCGGGGGAAUAAGGAGAGGGCAAGUCUGGUGUCAGCCGCCGCGGUAAUACCAGCUCUCCGAGUGGUAGGGAUGAUUAUUGGGCUUAAAGCGUCCGUAGCCGGCCCGGCAAGUCUUCCGUUAAAUCCAACGAUUCAAUCGUUGGACUGCAGGAGAUACUGUUGGGCUAGGAGGCGGGAGAGGCCGACGGUAUUCUCGGGGUAGGGGUAAAAUCCUAUAAUCCCGGGAGGACCACCAGUGGCGAAGGCGGUCGGCUAGAACGCGCUCGACGGUGAGGGACGAAAGCUGGGGGAGCGAACCGGAUUAGAUACCCGGGUAGUCCCAGCUGUAAACGAUGCGGGCUAGGUGUUGGGGCGGCUACUGGCCGCUUCAGUGCCGCAGGGAAACCAUUAAGCCCGCCGCCUGGGGAGUACGGCCGCAAGGCUGAAA